This 390-nucleotide ribosomal RNA is filed under the name uncultured bacterium. RNAcentral's name for it is "bacterial SSU rRNA". It matches the Rfam family "Bacterial small subunit ribosomal RNA", at positions 28 to 420 of the family's 1533-position model. The record is from RNAcentral.
GACGAACGCUGGCGGCGUGCUUAACACAUGCAAGUCGAGCGGUAAGGCUCCUUCGGGAGUACACGAGCGGCGAACGGGUGAGUAACACGUGAGCAAUCUGCCCUUCACUUCGGGAUAACUCCGGGAAACCGGUGCUAAUACCGAAUACGACCACUUCAGGCAUCUGAUGGUGGUGGAAAGUUCCGGCGGUGAAGGAUGAGCUCGCGGCCUAUCAGCUUGUUGGUGAGGAAUGGCCCACCAAGGCAACGACGGGUAGCCGGCCUGAGAGGGUGACCGGCCACACUGGGACUGAGACACGGCCCAGACUCCUACGGGAGGCAGCAGUGGGGAAUAUUGGACAAUGGGCGAAAGCCUGAUCCAGCAACGCCGCGUGAGGGAUGACGGCCUCGG